This 200-nucleotide ribosomal RNA is filed under the name uncultured bacterium. RNAcentral describes it as "partial 16S ribosomal RNA". It matches the Rfam family "Bacterial small subunit ribosomal RNA", at positions 28 to 230 of the family's 1533-position model. The record is from RNAcentral.
GACGAACGCUGGCGGCGUGCUUAACACAUGCAAGUCGAGCGGAAAGGCCACUUCGGUGGUACUCGAGCGGCGAACGGGUGAGUAACACGUGAGUAAUCUGCCCUUGGCUUUGGGAUAGCCACCGGGAACGGUGAUUAAUACCGGAUACGACCACUUCUCGCAUGGGAUGGUGGUGGAAAGUUUUUCGGCCAGGGAUGUGC